AAAAUACUAAGGUAAAAAAUCUUAUAAAUAAUACCUUUAUUCAAUAUAUUGUGAUUUUUUCCCUAGUGCAUUUUAAUUAUUUUUUUUAUUUUUGAAUAUGUAGGUAUGUGAACUGCAUUUCUCAUCAUCUGACUUUUUGACAGAAUCAUCAGGCUAUGAUGAAAAAACAAGACAAUUGGUCAGUGCACCAUUAAAAACAAGAAGUUGAGAAAAGGAGUAAUUCCUUCAAUUUUUCCCAAAUUUUCGAUUUCUUCGAUCACAGAAGAGAAGAAUGGUGUUCGCACAUCACCAAAUAGUAAGAAAAUCUUACGAGAAAAUAAUUUUCUACAACGUGUCAUGGUGGAGAGCAUUCAAACAAAUGAACAAUAUGUUAAUGAAAGAAAGAUUUCCAAAUUAACAGAUGUCAUGCAGUGUAUUAAAAAAUUUGGAAUCCCAGAUUCAUGGACUGUUAUUUCUUCAUCAGAACAUGUAUGCUUAAUCAAUUUACAGGUAAUUCCUGUGCCUGAAAUUAAUUUUUCAAUUAUAAUUAACAAACAAAUGGAAGUUUCUGCAUUUGUCAAAAAAUUCCAGUUCAUCAAUUAGACGAGGAUAAAAAUUUUAAAUUUCCUUUCAUUUUGCAGAACUUCAAUGAUCUGCUACAUAUUAUUGACAAGUUACAAAAACAGUGCAAUAAAUUUGACCAUGAAGUAGUAAAAGCCAUUGAAGAUUUAAUGCAAAUAUUAAAAAAAGAGAGAUCUGAUCAUGAAAAUCUUAUUAUGUUCAUUCAAGAACAGCUGCAGUUACUAUGUUUAAAAAAAAAAAUAACUUGUCAGAGAACUAAUAACUUGUUAUUAGAGAAAGUGAAAAUUUGAUUCUUCUGCAUCCAAGUACAAUUCGG
Molecule: long non-coding RNA, 877 nt
Filed under: Androctonus crassicauda
Lineage: Eukaryota; Metazoa; Arthropoda; Arachnida; Scorpiones; Buthidae
Source: RNAcentral